Molecule: ribosomal RNA, 1059 nt
Filed under: Triticum aestivum (bread wheat)
Lineage: Eukaryota; Viridiplantae; Streptophyta; Magnoliopsida; Poales; Poaceae
Description: partial small subunit ribosomal RNA
Source: RNAcentral
AUGGAUUUUGGCCUCCGCUCCGAGAAAAAGCCAUUUUUGGGGUGCAUCCCCCGUGACCCAGGUGAUCGACGCCGCAUCGCCAAGGAGGUGAAGGAGCUGAGGGCUGAGGUGGAGGAUGUGAGCAACAGGAACCAGCGCUAUCACCUCAUCAAGGAGAGCUCAGGCUCCAUGCCUACCGCAGCAGAGGAGCAGGCCAGCAUUGCCACCGCUGGAAUGUUUGGCAUCAACGAACCAAUGAUUGCCACCUUGGAGCAUGAAAAAUCAUCAGAGGUGAACCUCCACCAGCUGAUUACCAGCAACGAUGUGGACCUUAGGGAGAUCGCCAUGUGGGGAACAAGCGGUGAUCUCGAGAAGGCUCCCGCCAUCCAGGAGGUUUAUGAUGACCCAAAGAUAUUGAAAAAGUUUGGUUUCCGUGCUUGGAUUAGGUUGGUGCAUCCUUUCAGCCCACAAGAGUUCCUCCGGAGCUUGGUAAGGCAAUUUUACGAGAAUUUCCAUGAUGAAGUUGGAAAGCCUGAAGAAGAUACAAAUAUUGGGGCUGAUGUUCUGGCCAAGAUGGAGAAGAUGGAUCAAAAUGAAUUAGUUUGUGUGUUUAAAGCACAGUUGUUUAGCAAUAGCUACCUGAUCGUAAUUGAUGACCUAUCCACGAUAGUGGAGUGGCAUUGCAUUAAGAAGUAUUUACCUGACAACAAGAAACAAAGCAGAAUCAUCGUUUCCACGCAGCAAGCUGAAAUUGCAAGCUUGUGCACUGAGAAACUGUAUCAAGUUUCGGAGUUCAAGCAGUUGUCGUGUGAUCAAACUAUUUAUUUGUUCCACAAGAAGUUGCAGAAUUCAGAGAAUCUGGUCAGCAUGGGCAGUGCUAGUGUGGCACUGUUUGAUACCAAAGAUGAAGCAAGGCUUGCCGCCGUGGAGAAAGAGAAACUGAAGGUGGGACCCUGCCAGCUAACUGAAAUUCAAAUAUUGAAUUUCAUGUUUAUGAUUAUAUUUUGGUUGUAUAAAUGUCGGUACUUGUUCUUUUUAUCUUCACAUGAAAGCACACACCCCGUGUGUGUGCAUCAUUGA